This 941-nucleotide ribosomal RNA is filed under the name Acinetobacter sp. 'SMCC B0460'. RNAcentral's name for it is "bacterial SSU rRNA". It matches the Rfam family "Bacterial small subunit ribosomal RNA", at positions 433 to 1365 of the family's 1533-position model. Lineage: Bacteria; Pseudomonadati; Pseudomonadota; Gammaproteobacteria; Moraxellales; Moraxellaceae. The record is from RNAcentral.
CUUUAAGCGAGGAGGAGGCUACUUUAGUUAAUACCUAGAGAUAGUGGACGUUACUCGCAGAAUAAGCACCGGCUAACUCUGUGCCAGCACCCGCGGUAAUACAGAGGGUGCAAGCGUUAAUCGGAUUUACUGGGCGUAAAGCGCGCGUAGGCGGCUAAUUAAGUCAAAUGUGAAAUCCCCGAGCUUAACUUGGGAAUUGCAUUCGAUACUGGUUAGCUAGAGUGUGGGAGAGGAUGGUAGAAUUCCAGGUGUAGCGGUGAAAUGCGUAGAGAUCUGGAGGAAUACCGAUGGCGAAGGCAGCCAUCUGGCCUAACACUGACGCUGAGGUGCGAAAGCAUGGGGAGCACACAGGAUUAGAUACCCUGGUAGUCCAUGCCGUAAACGAUGUCUACUANCCGUUGGGGCCUUUGAGNCUUUAGUGGCGCAGCUAACGCGAUAAGUAGACCNCCUGGGGAGUACGGUCGCAAGACUAAAACUCAAAUGAAUUGACGGGGGCCCGCACAAGCGGUGGAGCAUGUGGUUUAAUUCGAUGCAACNCGAAGAACCUUACCUGGCCUUGACAUAGUAAGAACUUUCCAGAGAUGGAUUGUUGCCUUCGGGAACUUACAUACAGGUGCUGCAUGNCUGUCGUCAGCUCGUGUCGUGAGAUGUUGGGGUAAGUCCCGCAACGAGCGCAACCCUUUUCCUUAUUUGCCAGCGAGUAAUGUCGGGANCUUUAAGGAUACUCCCAGUGACACACUGGAGGAAGGNGGGGACGACGUCAAGUCAUCAUGGCCCUUACGGCCAGGGCGACACACGUGCUACAAUGGUGGGUACAAAGGGUUGCUACCUAGCGAUAGGAUGCUAAUCUCACAAAGCCGAUCGUAGUCCGGAUUGGAGUCUGCAACUCGACUCCAUGAAGUCGGAAUCGCUAGUAAUCGCGGAUCAGAAUACCNCGGUGA